This 763-nucleotide ribosomal RNA is filed under the name uncultured fungus. Its description in RNAcentral is "SSU rRNA". It matches the Rfam family "Eukaryotic small subunit ribosomal RNA", at positions 806 to 1591 of the family's 1831-position model. The record is from RNAcentral. Lineage: Eukaryota; Fungi.
UGCAUGGAAUAAUAGAAUAGGACGCGCGUUCCCAUUUUGUUGGUUUCUGAGAUCGCCGUAAUGAUUAAUAGGGAUAGUUGGGGGCAUUUGUAUUCCGUCGUCAGAGGUGAAAUUCUUGGAUUGCCGGAAGACAAACUACUGCGAAAGCAUUUGCCAAGGAUGUUUUCAUUGAUCAAGAACGAAGGAAGGGGGAUCGAAAACGAUUAGAUACCGUUGUAGUCUCUUCUGUAAACUAUGCCAAUUGGGGAUCGGUACAGGAUUUUUAAUGACUGUAUCGGCACCCGAAGAGAAAUCUUUAAAUGAGGUUCGGGGGGGAGUAUGGUCGCAAGGCUGAAACUUAAAGGAAUUGACGGAAGGGCACCACCAGGUGUGGAGCCUGCGGCUUAAUUUGACUCAACACGGGGAAACCCACCAGGUCCAGACACAAUAAGGAUUGACAGAUUGAUAGCUCUUUCUUGAUCUUGUGGUUGGUGGUGCAUGGCCGUUCUUAGUUGGUGGAGUGAUUUGUCUGGUUAAUUCCGAUAACGAACGAGACCUUAACCUGCUAAAUAGACCAGCCGGCUUUGGCUAGCUGCUGUCUUCUUAGAGGGACUAUCAGCGUUUAGCUGAUGGAAGUUUGAGGCAAUAACAGGUCUGUGAUGCCCUUAGAUGUUCUGGGCCGCACGCGCGCUACACUGACAGAGCCAGCGAGUCUACCACCUUUGCCGGAAGGCAUGGGUAAUCUUGUGAAACUCUGUCGUGAUGGGGAUAGGGCAUUGCAAUA